CCCAGCAUGGCGUCCAGCACUUCCCACGUUGACGUCACACAAGGCCAGCCACUGAGGUCGGCACCAUCCUGACGGGACAGCAAAGCAGAGCAGAAACACCUGUGAGAAGCAGAAUAGCUUCAAGACUUAAAAGAGUUGAUUUUUGAGAAGAGAGAACAUGGAAGAAAUCACAACCCCCUGCAAG
Molecule: long non-coding RNA, 184 nt
Organism: Neomonachus schauinslandi (Hawaiian monk seal)
Lineage: Eukaryota; Metazoa; Chordata; Mammalia; Carnivora; Phocidae
Exons: 3
Source: RefSeq, a predicted model, not a curated record